UGACUGCGUACCUUUUGUAUAAUGGGUCAGCGACUUAUUGUCUGUAGCAAGCUUAACCGUUUAGGGGAGGCGUAGGGAAACCGAGUCCGAAUAGGGCGUUCAGUCGCUGGGUGUAGACCCGAAACCAAGUGAUCUAUCCAUGGCCAGGAUGAAGGUGCCGUAACAGGUACUGGAGGUCCGAACCGACUAAUGUUGCAAAAUUAGCGGAUGAGCUGUGGAUAGGGGUGAAAGGCUAAACAAACUUGGAGAUAGCUGGUUCUCUCCGAAAACUAUUUAGGUAGUGCCUCAAGUAUUACCGUCGGGGGUAGAGCACUGUUAUGGCUAAGGGGGU
Molecule: ribosomal RNA, 331 nt
Filed under: Alexandrium tamarense
Lineage: Eukaryota; Dinophyceae; Gonyaulacales; Pyrocystaceae
Description: partial Bacterial large subunit ribosomal RNA
Rfam family: Bacterial large subunit ribosomal RNA
Source: RNAcentral